Molecule: ribosomal RNA, 561 nt
Filed under: uncultured bacterium Benz-76
Lineage: Bacteria
Description: bacterial SSU rRNA
Rfam family: Bacterial small subunit ribosomal RNA
Source: RNAcentral
GAGGCAGCAGUGGGGAAUUUUGCGCAAUGGGCGAAAGCCUGACGCAGCAACGCCGCGUGAGUGAUGAAGGCUUUCGGGUCGUAAAGCUCUGUCGAGGGGAAAGAAGUGUAUUGUGGCUAAUAUCCGCGAUACUUGACGGUACCCCUAAAGGAAGCACCGGCUAACUCCGUGCCAGCAGCCGCGGUAAUACGGGGGGUGCAAGCGUUGUUCGGAAUUAUUGGGCGUAAAGAGCGUGUAGGCGGUUUGUUAAGUCUGAUGUGAAAGCCCUGGGCUCAACCCAGGAAGUGCAUUGGAAACUGGCAGACUUGAAUACGGGAGAGGGCAGUGGAAUUCCUAGUGUAGGAGUGAAAUCCGUAGAUAUUAGGAGGAACACCGGUGGCGAAGGCGGCUGCCUGGACCGAUAUUGACGCUGAGACGCGAAAGCGUGGGUAGCAAACAGGAUUAGAUACCCUGGUAGUCCACGCCGUAAACGAUGAGAACUAGGUGUUGCGGGUAUUGACCCCUGCAGUGCCGCAGCUAACGCAUUAAGUUCUCCGCCUGGGAAGUACGGUCGCAAGACUA